This 348-nucleotide ribosomal RNA is filed under the name uncultured bacterium. RNAcentral describes it as "bacterial SSU rRNA". It matches the Rfam family "Bacterial small subunit ribosomal RNA", at positions 29 to 402 of the family's 1533-position model. The record is from RNAcentral.
AACGAACGCUGGCGGCAGGCUUAACACAUGCAAGUCGAACGGGCGUAGCAAUACGUCAGUGGCGGACGGGUGAGUAACACGUGGGAAUAUGCCUUUCGGUUCGGAACAACUCGGGGAAACCCGUGCUAAUUCCGGAUACGCCCUUACGGGGAAAGAUUUAUCGCCGAAAGAUUAGCCCGCGUUGGAUUAGCUAGUUGGUGAGGUAAAGGCUCACCAAGGCGACGAUCCAUAGCUGGUUUGAGAGAACGACCAGCCACACUGGGACUGAGACACGGCCCAGACUCCUACGGGAGGCAGCAGUGGGGAAUCUUGGACAAUGGAGGAAACUCUGAUCCAGCCAUGCCGCGU